RNAcentral lists this ribosomal RNA (508 nucleotides) under uncultured bacterium. Its description in RNAcentral is "bacterial SSU rRNA". It matches the Rfam family "Bacterial small subunit ribosomal RNA", at positions 389 to 890 of the family's 1533-position model. The record is from RNAcentral.
CUGCCAUGCCGCGUGCAUGAUGAAGGCCUUCGGGUUGUAAACUGCUUUUGUACGGAACGAAAAGACUCUGGUUAAUACCUGGGGUCCAUGACGGUACCGUAAGAAUAAGCACCGGCUAACUACGUGCCAUCAGCCGCGGUAAUACGUAUGGUGCAAGCGUUAAUCGGAAUUACUGGGCGUAAAGCGUGCGCAGGCGGUUAUAUAAGACAGAUGUGAAAUCCCCGGGCUCAACCUGGGAACUGCAUUUGUGACUGUAUAGCUAGAGUACGGCAGAGGGGGAUGGAAUUCCGCGUGUAGCAGUGAAAUGCGUAAAUAUGCGGAGGAACACCGAUGGCGAAGGCAAUCCCCUGGGCCUGUACUGACGCUCAUGCACGAAAGCGUGGGGAGCAAACAGGAUUAGAUACCCUGGUAGUCCACGCCCUAAACGAUGUCAACUGGUUGUUGGGUCUUCACUGACUCAUUAACGAAGCUAACGCGUGAAGUUGACCGCCUGGGGAGUACGGCCGCA